This is a long non-coding RNA of Apus apus (common swift), 480 nucleotides long. RefSeq lists it as uncharacterized. NCBI's taxonomy places the organism in Eukaryota, Metazoa, Chordata, Aves, Apodiformes, Apodidae. The transcript has 4 exons. The record is from RefSeq and is a predicted model, not a curated record.
GGGGGGGGAAGCGAGAGUGAAGCUUUCUGCCUCUGAGGGAAGAAGCAAAGCAUUCGGAUAAUUAAAUGUGGUUGUCUUGGAGAGAUUCAAGAACAAUGCCAUGUGUGUAGAGCAGCCCUGCAGUCCUUGUUCUGCAGAGAAGACUGGAGACUUUUGUUCAGGAUCAAGGUAUUCAAGAAAAAUGACCUGCUCCAACAUCAGUUAUGUCCAGUGCAGAGCUGAUAUACACCAUCAGACACAUGCCUGUAACCAAGCCCUUCAACCGAACAAAGCAAGGACAGGAUUCAAGGCAGAGGAAGGAACUGCAGGGAUGCUUCCCGUUGAACAUACCACUUCCCACCUUCCUUCUUAAGCACAACAGACCAUGACAAAAUCAUUUCUAGAAAAUGUAAUUUCUUUAAAAAUAUAUACUUAGCUUCUUUUUAUUUCUAGAAACUGUUACAGAGAUGAGCAAAACUUAAUUAAAGUUUGUGCACCAAA